CACGUAGGAGACUAGCGUUAUCCGGAUUUACUGGGCGUAAAGCGCGUGCAGGUGGCUCGGAAAGUUCGAUGUGAAAGCUCCCGGCUUAACUGGGAGAGGUCGUUGAAUACUUUCGGGCUAGAGGAUGGGAGAGGGAGGCGGAAUUCCGGGUGUAGUGGUGAAAUGCGUAGAUAUCCGGAGGAACACCAGUGGCGAAAGCGGCCUCCUGGCCCAUUUCUGACACUCAGACACGAAAGCUAGGGUAGCAAACGGGAUUAGAGACCCCGGUAGUCCUAGCUGUAAACGAUGUAGACUUGGCGUUGGCGGGUUCAAAUCCGUCAGUGCCGAAGCUAACGCGAUAAGUCUACCGCCUGGGGACUACGGCCGCAAGGUUAAA
Molecule: ribosomal RNA, 376 nt
Filed under: uncultured bacterium
Lineage: Bacteria
Description: bacterial SSU rRNA
Rfam family: Bacterial small subunit ribosomal RNA
Source: RNAcentral